UAAAGCAUACUCUCGACUAUUGUAUAAUUCCUUAAUACACUUUUAACCCUCCAUCUGUACUGAAUGAUCCCAUACUACUAUGGGAGCCACUAUGCUAAAACUAGUAACAAGAAAUGGAAUUUCUCCAAAAUGCAAGUAUAAACCAACACGGACCAACCAUUGGUAAUUAACAUAAAUGAGCCCAUUAUAGUAACACUAACCAGAAAACCCUAUAACCCAAUAUGUUAAUCUUACACAAGAGCAUUACCGGAAAGAUUAAAAGAGAGAGAAGGAACUCGGCAAAUCCUAACCCCGCCUGUUUACCAAAAACAUCGCCUCUUGACUAAUUAUAAGAGGUCUAGCCUGCCCAGUGACAUAGUUAAACGGCCGCGGUAUUCUGACCGUGCGAAGGUAGCAUAAUCACUUGUUCUUUAAAUAAGGACUAGUAUCAACGGCAUCACGAGGGUUACACUGUCUCCUCCCUCCAAUCAGUGAAACUGAUUUCCCCGUGAAGAAGCGGGGAUAAACCUAUAAGACGAGAAGACCCCAUGGAGCUUUAAACUCAACAACAACCUCCUACAUAAAGUCCUACGUAACCGCGGAAGUUCUGUUUGUUAGUUUUAGGUUGGGGUGACCGCGGAGAAAAACCAAACCUCCACGACGAACGGAAACAACUCCUAAUCUAAGAGCUACUACUCUAAGAAUCAACAAAUUGACAUAAACUGAUCCGAUAAUCGAUCAACGAACCAAGUUACCCUGGGGAUAACAGCGCAAUCCAUUUCAAGAGCCCCUAUCGACAAAUGGGUUUACGACCUCGAUGUUGGAUCAGGGUAUCCCAGUGGUGCAGCCGCUACUAAAGGUUUGUUUGUUCAACAAUUAAAAC
This 862-nucleotide ribosomal RNA is filed under the name Nanorana quadranus (swelled vent frog). Its description in RNAcentral is "partial 16S rRNA". It matches the Rfam family "Bacterial large subunit ribosomal RNA", at positions 1496 to 2594 of the family's 2925-position model. Lineage: Eukaryota; Metazoa; Chordata; Amphibia; Anura; Dicroglossidae. The record is from RNAcentral.